CCUACGGGAGGCAGCAGAGGAGGAUCAUUCGCAAUGGGCGAAAGCCUGACGGUGCGACGCCGCGUGAGGGAUGAAGGCCUUCGGGUUGUAAACCUCUGUCAGGAGUUAAGAACGGCGGGGGCGCCAAUACCGCUCCCGCGUGACAAAGGCUCCAAAGGAAGCCACGGCUAACUACGUGCCAGCAGCCGCGGUAAUACGUAGGUGGCAAGCGUUACUCGGAAUUACUGGGCAUAAAGGGCGUGUAGGCGGAGGCGUAAGUCCGGUGUGAAAGCCCUCGGCUCAACCGGGGAAGGCCAUCGGAUACUGCGUUUCUCGAGUGCGGGAGGGGAGAGUGGAACUCUUGGUGGAGCGGUGAAAUGCGUAGAUAUCAAGAGGAACGCCGGUGGCGAAAGCGGCUCUCUGGCCCGUAACUGACGCUGAGGCGCGAAAGCUAGGGGAGCAAACGGGAUUAGAUACCCCGGUAGUCCUAGCCCUAAACGAUGGGUACUAAGUAGGGGCGACUCCGAUGUCGUCUCUGCUGUAGCGAAUGUGAUAAGUACCCCGCCUGGGGAGUACGGUCGCAAGGCUGAAACUUAAAGGAAUUG
Molecule: ribosomal RNA, 584 nt
Filed under: uncultured bacterium
Lineage: Bacteria
Description: bacterial SSU rRNA
Rfam family: Bacterial small subunit ribosomal RNA
Source: RNAcentral